CCUACGGGAGGCUGCAGUCGAGAAUCAUUCACAAUGGGGGAAACCCUGAUGGAGCGACGCCGCGUGGGGGAAUGAAGGUCUUCGGAUUGUAAACUCCUGUCAUGUGGGAGCAAAUUAAAAAGAUAGUACCACAAGAGGAAGAGACGGCUAACACUGUGCCAGCAGCCGCGGUAAUACAGAGGUCUCAAGCGUUGUUCGGAAUCACUGGGCGUAAAGCGUGCGUAGGCUGUUUCGUAAGUCGGGUGUGAAAGGCGCGGGCUCAACCCGCGGACGGCACAUGAUACUGUGCGACUAGAGUGAUGGAGGGGGAGCCGGAAUUCUCGGUGUAGCAGUGAAAUGCUUAGAUAUCGAGAGGAACACUCGUGGCGAAGGCGGGUUCCUGGACAUUAACUGACGCUGAGGCACGAAAGCCAGGGGAGCGAAAGGGAUUAGAUACCCCUGUAGUC
This 446-nucleotide ribosomal RNA is filed under the name uncultured bacterium. RNAcentral describes it as "partial 16S ribosomal RNA". It matches the Rfam family "Bacterial small subunit ribosomal RNA", at positions 338 to 795 of the family's 1533-position model. The record is from RNAcentral.